RNAcentral lists this long non-coding RNA (3904 nucleotides) under Capsicum annuum. RNAcentral describes it as "long non-coding RNA (CANN_LNC016696)". The record is from RNAcentral. Lineage: Eukaryota; Viridiplantae; Streptophyta; Magnoliopsida; Solanales; Solanaceae.
AAAGCAAGUGGACAAUUAUAAAUGUGGUUUGCUAUUUUUUCACUAUCUACGAAAUAAGGGUGAGUAGAUAGUUGGCUAGGUCUUGGGCAUCUUCCUAGAAAUAGGGAUGCCCAAUUGAGGUGUUAGGUGGUUUUAAUUGACACACUCGUUAGGUACUCGAAAGGGUCAAUGAGUGAUAUCCUUGAGGCUUUGUUGACAAACUGGCCUCCAGGACAUUCAACCUAGCCGACCAUAUUGUUAAUAACUAGAAUUUGUACCAAAUCAUCAUGCACCCAUGCAUAACUUGCUCUUAAGUAGACAUAAUCCCCAGGUCCUUCUCAUAUUGGAUUUUUAAUCGCAAUUGUCACCGUUAGUUGUUAAUUUGAAUAGACUUUGAUAGAAACACGUUCCAACCAAACCCCCAUUUUAAAUCAUGUAUCUUAUUUUGCCUUCACUACAAGUAUAUCUUUAGAUGCCAUUGCCACCCAUAAGUCUUGAAGACUAGUUUCGCUCCUCGUGGAUUCAACCUCCACAUAAGUUGAGCUAUGGACAACAAAGGUAUAGGUUAGCGUGAUCAGUCAUCUCUUAUUAAUUCUUCUAGUUUUAACGGAUGCAUAUAACCUGUUCAAAAUAUGACGCGAUCUUACUCAAUGCAUCUAUUGCAGUCCAAUGUCUAGAUAUCGUGACAGUUAAUUUUGAGGAUUUCUUCUUUGUUUGUAAUCGUAGGAGUUGUUCAAUCUUGUCUUCGUUGUCUUAAAGUCUAUCAAUUCUUGGAAUCACAAGGAAGAAGAUUAAUGGUCAGAAACUACGCAAAUAAACAAUGCAUGAGAUGAAGAUUUCCAAACACAGGUUCUUUUUCACCACACAUCUGCCUACUUUGCCUUCCCUGAGAUGAAGCAUGCCUUGCUGCACAUGGAACAUACAGCUCUAAUGGAACCCAAUAUUACAUGAGAAUAAGAACUCAGGAACAGAUUAAAAAAAAAAAAACAGUGAAUCAGUAAUUAAGAGGUUCUUGUAAACGAGAAAGUGAAGAGGUGAAAUAGGCUUAAUCAUUGUAGUGUUACGUUUUACUAAUUUUAGCUUCUCUGAUCAACACAAUAACAACAACAGCAACAUAUAUACCUAGUGAAAUCCCACAAAUGAGGGCUGGGAGGGUAAAGUGUACGCAGACCUUACCACUACCUUGGGGACAUAGGAAGGCUGUUUCUGGAAUACCCUCGGCUCAAAUGUAGCAAAUCCAGGUACAAAGCAUAGAGAGACAAUGAAGAACAUAAAGCAACUAGCAUGGGAACACUACUAAGUCUACUAGAAAUAAAUAAUAAUCAACCACAACUAGUGUGAUAAUCACAAUACAAUAAAAAACAACAUAUUAUAGGUAUAACUAGUGGACUAGUACACGAAAAACACCCAACAACCUAAACCCGCUAGAGCAAGACAACACUCCUACUCGACUAACCUUCUAAGCUAAUACGCGUUCUCCACAUCCUCCUAUCUAAAGUCAUGUCCUCGGUAAUCUCUGAUCAACAAAAGGUUGUUUUUAUUUACAGAAAAAAAAAGGAAUGUUAUCACUCCUAUCACUUUAUCCUGGCUUCAAUACUACAAAAGAAUAAAAGUUAGUUUGAUUCGUAUCGCACUAUUUUGGUUUUGUUUGAGUUCCUCUCUUGUAGACUUUGCAUUGCUUCCCUUGUUAGUUUUUAUGUUUGUCACACCCCUUUUUUAACUCCAAAAAUAUUCAUUUCAAGUUCGAAAGGGUUUUUAUUAUUAAGUGACAAAAGAAAGAUUGUUUCGAAAAGGAUUCAUUAUAUUCAAAACUCAGAGUCGCCACUUGGCAUAAUCGGUGUGCCAAGUCACCAUUGAAAAUCCUUUUUCGAAAAUGAUUUUGACUCUUUUAAACCUAUCUGCGAACAGAGAUUCCGGUUAAGGAAUUCUGUUGACCGAGGGGAAGGUUUUAGGCACCCCUCGAUCUCGUGGUUCGACCACGGUCGCUUGGUGAAGCAUAUCGGCUAAUUUGACAUUACAAAUGUAUAAACCACACAAGAGCACAUAAAACAAUCAAUCAAACACACGAAAUAAAACAAAUCCAAAAUAUAGUGUUCAAUCCCAUUAUACAGUCCAAAAAUAAAAAUGCGAAAAAUAAAUCCCAUUCUAACCUACACUAGUCCCAACUACGCUUCCGUACUUUACCUGAUGCCUCGGGCCUUGAUCACGAUCAUCUUCCGCCAACAUAAUACGUCGGGGCAUUCCCCGGUGAAUAAAUACAAUGAGCCUUGGGCAUUCCCCAACUAAAUGAAUACAUUUUAAUCAAAGUACGAUAAACUCAAAAACAUUCACCACACAUACAUUCAACUUUCAACAUUCAACGAUAUCACUAAACUUGCCUAUCCGAACCUAAACUUUACCUAUUAAGCUCUCGGCCUAAAAUAUGCUCCUAUUGAUUUCAACAACGCCAUCAAGUCAAACAACCAAUGAAUCAAAUUAACCAAAAUUCACCAAUCUUAUCAAUUUUCAUCCCUCCCAAAAUUCAUUUCUUAACCAAACGAUUAAUCAAUUUCAAAGUAACACCAACCAAUCAAAUCGUGACAAUUAAAGAAUGUCAAACACACUGUCAGGAUUAUAUCAUCAAUUAACACGAACCACGCAAAUCACAGCAUCAACACAUCAUGCUACGAUAAAAAUGGAAAAGAUAGAGUUGAAGAAUUAGACCUCAAAUUGACGCUUUGUUAAACGGAGAAAAAGCCUCAUGGAUUCGGAAACCACAAACUAGCAGAACCUCGACCCAAAUGAAACCUCAACUUCGCACAACCAACUUGUUAUAUCCAUUUUUGCUCUAUUUUUCGCCUACUCGAACCUAAAUUGCGAAGUGACAAAAGACCCGUAUUCGAAUGUGUAUGCCCCGUUACUGUGUCAAUCGUGUUCCAAUGAAUUUUGGGUUGUAAUCUGCAGCAUUUGUGGACUGGGGUUUUGUUUUUGUCUCACCAGACCUCGGACAAGGUUAGGCGAUGACAGAAAACCGAAAAAUGGGUUGGAUUUUCUGGUGAUAGUGGCGUUUGUGGCUGGAGUUUAUGGUUUUGGCCAGAAGUGGGGGUAGGAGGUAGCUGGUCGGUGUUUUCGACAGGUUUCGGUGAGGGCUCGCCGGAAAAGUCAAGAGAAACGGCUCUCCAUUCAACCCCCUACUUCCGAUCUCUCCUCGUGUUUUCUAACCUCUCUUAUCCUCCUCUCUCUCUCUUCAAUUCACUCUGUUUUUUCUACUCUCUACGAUUUCUCUAUAUCAGUGAAUCUGGUUUUUGGUGAGUGUCGUGGACAAGAAGAAAGGAAGCUCCCCCUUUCAUUAUGUUAACUGUCAAGAGGAAAAAGAAACCAUUUCUCCCCUCUAUGUUCUGUGGGGCCCCUUUUAAUCUUUUUCGGUGGGGGCCUCGUGAGUGGAAAAAAUGUAUAUUGUAUUCUUUUUUGAGUGAUGUCCACCUUUCCAGUGAAUGUAGUGCAUUCCAUUUUUAGACGGUAGGUGAUGGAAUAAUUCUAUGGACCCCACCUCUAUUUGUUGUCUUGUGAAUUGGUUUCAAAGUGAAUAAAAUGUGAGGGGUAAGGGUUACGUGGGUAGGUAGGGUGUUGGGGGUUGGGUAGUGUAGGUAGUGAGGUGAGGUGUUUCCAUUUGAAAUGGUAGGUUGUUGGUUUGUUAUUUUUUUUUUUUGUCUUUUUUGCGAAGGGAUUAUCGUACGGGGUAGGGUACGCAGUAGGAUAAGGUAAAAAUGGUUGAAAAUAAUAUCGGGGAGGGAUGAAAUUAGGUGUCUACAAUAUUUUCUUCACUAUUUCCUUCUUCUUUGCGCUUGAGUUGAGGGUCUUUUAAGAACAGUCUCUCUAUUUCGAAGAGGUAGUGGUAAGGUCUUCCCUGUACACUCUACCCUUCCAAGACCCCACUUGCAGAAUU